GUGGGGAAUUUUGGACAAUGGGGGCAACCCUGAUCCAGCAAUGCCGCGUGCAGGAAGAAGGCCUUCGGGUUGUAAACUGCUUUUGUACGGAACGAAACGGUCCUGGUUAAUACCUGGGGCUAAUGACGGUACCGUAAGAAUAAGCACCGGCUAACUACGUGCCAGCAGCCGCGGUAAUACGUAGGGUGCAAGCGUUAAUCGGAAUUACUGGGCGUAAAGCGUGCGCAGGCGGUUUUGUAAGACAGGCGUGGAAUCCCCGGGCUCAACCUGGGAAUGGCGCUUGUGACUGCAAGGCUGGAGUGCGGCAGAGGGGGAUGGAAUUCCGCGUGUAGCAGUGAAAUGCGUAGAUAUGCGGAGGAACACCGAUGGCGAAGGCAAUCCCCUGGGCCUGCACUGACGCUCAUGCACGAAAGCGUGGGGAGCAAACAGGAUUAGAAACCCGAGUAGUCC
RNAcentral lists this ribosomal RNA (450 nucleotides) under uncultured bacterium. RNAcentral describes it as "partial 16S ribosomal RNA". It matches the Rfam family "Bacterial small subunit ribosomal RNA", at positions 354 to 796 of the family's 1533-position model. The record is from RNAcentral.